CGGGGCGUGGCGCAGUUGGCUAGCGCACUUGCAUGGGGUGCAAGGGGUCGAAAGUUCGAGUCUUUUCGCCCCGA
Molecule: transfer RNA, 74 nt
Filed under: Bacteroidales bacterium
Lineage: Bacteria; Pseudomonadati; Bacteroidota; Bacteroidia; Bacteroidales
Also listed under: 2 other names
Description: tRNA-Pro
Rfam family: tRNA
About the family: Transfer RNA (tRNA) molecules are approximately 80 nucleotides in length.
Source: RNAcentral